This 460-nucleotide ribosomal RNA is filed under the name uncultured bacterium. RNAcentral describes it as "partial 16S ribosomal RNA". It matches the Rfam family "Bacterial small subunit ribosomal RNA", at positions 338 to 795 of the family's 1533-position model. The record is from RNAcentral.
CCUACGGGAGACAGCAGUGAGGAAUAUUGGUCAAUGGCCGUAAGGCUGAACCAGCCAAGUCGCGUGAAGGAAGAAGGAUCUAUGGUUUGUAAACUUCUUUUAUAGGGGAAUAAAGGUAUCCACGUGUGGAUAUUUGCAUGUACCCUAUGAAUAAGCAUCGGCUAACUCCGUGCCAGCAGCCGCGGUAAUACGGAGGAUGCGAGCGUUAUCCGGAUUUAUUGGGUUUAAAGGGUGCGUAGGUUGUUUUUUAAGUCAGCGGUGAAAGUUUGUGGCUCAACCAUAAAAUUGCCGUUGAAACUGGAAGACUUGAGUGUGUUUGAGGUAGGCGGAAUGCGUGGUGUAGCGGUGAAAUGCAUAGAUAUCACGCAGAACUCCGAUUGCGAAGGCAGCUUACUAAGCCAUAACUGACACUGAAGCACGAAAGUGUGGGUAUCAAACAGGAUUAGAUACCCCAGUAGUC